AUGUCCUCCCAGCUUGAGAUAUCCCAAGUUGUUCGAUCAGCUCAAGCUGCAGAAGAAGCUGAUGAGCACUAUGACCCAUUCAAAGAUCCUAAGAGGAGGCCAACAAAGAGCAAGGAUCCAGCAUGGAAAUAUGCAUUCUGGCCAGAUCUUAACAAGAGAUUGUUGCUGCAAUGUAAUUUGUGCGGCAAGAAAAUUACCUCUGGACCUUGUAGGAUGAAGAAACACCUUGCUGGGGGGUUUACAAUUGUGAGUAUGUGCACCAAAACAACCCCUGAAAUUCGAAAGGAGAUGCACGAGUACUUGAGGACUCACUCAUUCAGUUUCAAAAAUCUUGAUGGAGAUGAAGGUGGUGAAGAAGGUGGUGAAGAAGGUGCUGAACAAGAGAAGUGUGCAGCAAGUUCAAGAGCUUCCAACUCCAACUCCAACGCCUCCACCAAAAGGAAAUCAGAGGGGACUACUCAUUUGGCAACGACGGUGGCAAAGAAGCAAGGAAAGUCCAUUGCAGAUCAGAUUCGGAAGACACCGGAAGAGGUGGUUGCUGAGAGACAUAUGUUAAAGGGCACUCAAAAGACCAUGAAGGAUUACAGCAAGAAGACAAAGGAGCAAAAAGAUGAAGUAGAUGGUCAUGUAGCUGACUUUUUGUAUGAGAAUUGCCUUCCACUCAAUAUUGUUAAUUCAAGGAGUUGGGAGAUUCUAUUGGAGUCUAUAGGGCAGUAUGGCUCUGAUUAUAUAUCUCCUACUUAUCAUCAAGUGAGGGAACCAUUGCUUGAGAAGGCAAAGAUCAAGACCGACAACUUGAAAGGGAAGCAUGAAGUUGCAUGGAAAGAAUAUGGUUGCUCACUCAUGUCAGAUGGCUGGACGGACAUGACCGGGCGGCACUUGAUCAACUUCCUUGUCAAUAGUCCAGAAGGUACCUUCUUCUUAGGGACAGCCAAUGUUUCUUCUGAAACAGUUGAUGCAAAUCUGGUGGCAAAGCUGUUGAGCGAACAAAUUGAUGCAAUUGGCCCUGAAUUGGUAGUCCAAGUAGUUAGCGAUAAUGGGUCUAACUACAAGGCAGCCGGUAGACUUCUAAUGGAAAAGUAUCCUACAAUGUAUUGGACACCUUGUGCUGCCCACUGCUUGGAUCUUAUGCUAGAGGACAUUGGGAAGAUCAAAGAGUUCAGCCGUUGCAUUGCUAAAGCAAAGAGAACAACCAGAUUUAUUUAUGCCCAUGGAAAGGUUCUUGAUUUAAUGAGAAGCUUGAAUGGUAAGCAAGAAAUUGUGAGGCCUGGAGCAACUCGUUUUGCUACGUCAUUCCUUACUUUGGCAAGCAUGUGGAAGCAAAGGCAAACCUUGAAAACUCUCUUUGUUAGCCCACAAUGGUAUGCAAACAGAUUAAAGGACAGCGAAGGAGGGAAGGCGGCUGAAGCAACUGUGAUCUCCGUGUCAUUUUGGCAAUCGGUGGAGCAUUGCAUGAGAGCUUCACAACCACUUCUUAGAGCUUUGAGGAUCGCUGAUGGUGAUGAGACUCCGGCUAUGGCAGAAAUGUGGGCAGCCAUGGAUUUUGCAAAGACACACAUAAAGGAAGCUUUGGCACAUAAGCCAAACCUCCUAGGUCAAGUGGUAGCUAUUGUUGAUAAGAGGUGGGAUAAACAGAUGGAACAAAAGCUACAUGGGGCUGCUUUGUUCUUGAACCCAAAUAAAUUCUUUGCCAUUAAGGAGUCCAACAGAAGACAAGCUGCCCGUCUCCGUUCAAUGUUCAAUGAUGUGCUAUGGAAGAUGGUGCCUGAUGAUGAGCAGCAAGCAACUAUUAGUAGGGAAGCUGACGACUAUGAGCUGGGGAGUGAAUGUUUCUCGAAGCCAUUGUCAAUUAAAGACCGUGACAAAAAAAGCCCUCUUCUUUGGUGGAAUGCUUAUGGUGGCCUUGCUUUUGACCUCCAAACUCUUGCAAAGCGAAUCAUUAGUCUAUGUUGUUCAGCAUCUGGCUGCGAGCGCAAUUGGAGUGUAUUUGCUCAUGUAAGUAGCAGCAGCAUCUGGCUGGUUUGA
Molecule: ribosomal RNA, 2025 nt
Filed under: Triticum aestivum (bread wheat)
Lineage: Eukaryota; Viridiplantae; Streptophyta; Magnoliopsida; Poales; Poaceae
Description: partial small subunit ribosomal RNA
Source: RNAcentral